This 476-nucleotide ribosomal RNA is filed under the name Alternaria alternata. Its description in RNAcentral is "eukaryotic LSU rRNA". The stretch from base 113 to 266 matches the Rfam family "5.8S ribosomal RNA". Lineage: Eukaryota; Fungi; Ascomycota; Dothideomycetes; Pleosporales; Pleosporaceae. The record is from RNAcentral.
UUCACCCUUGUCUUUUGCGUACUUCUUGUUUCCUUGGUGGGUUCGCCCACCACUAGGACAAACAUAAACCUUUUGUAAUUGCAAUCAGCGUCAGUAACAAAUUAAUAAUUACAACUUUCAACAACGGAUCUCUUGGUUCUGGCAUCGAUGAAGAACGCAGCGAAAUGCGAUAAGUAGUGUGAAUUGCAGAAUUCAGUGAAUCAUCGAAUCUUUGAACGCACAUUGCGCCCUUUGGUAUUCCAAAGGGCAUGCCUGUUCGAGCGUCAUUUGUACCCUCAAGCUUUGCUUGGUGUUGGGCGUCUUGUCUCUAGCUUUGCUGGAGACUCGCCUUAAAGUAAUUGGCAGCCGGCCUACUGGUUUCGGAGCGCAGCACAAGUCGCACUCUCUAUCAGCAAAGGUCUAGCAUCCAUUAAGCCUUUUUUCAACUUUUGACCUCGGAUCAGGUAGGGAUACCCGCUGAACUUAAGCAUAUCAAU